RNAcentral lists this ribosomal RNA (249 nucleotides) under uncultured bacterium. RNAcentral's name for it is "partial small subunit ribosomal RNA". It matches the Rfam family "Bacterial small subunit ribosomal RNA", at positions 26 to 286 of the family's 1533-position model. The record is from RNAcentral.
AGGACGAACGCUGGCGGCGUGCUUAACACAUGCAAGUCGAACGAGGUGCUUCGGCACUUAGUGGCGAACGGGUGAGUAACACGUGAGCAACCUGCCCUUGGCUCUGGGAUAGCCUCCGGAAACGGGGAUUAAUACCGGACAUGACCUGCUCCUGCAUGGGGGCGGGUGGAAAGUUUUUCGGCCAGGGAGGGCUCGCGGCCUAUCAGCGUUGGUUGGGGGGUAACGGCCCACCAAGGCGACGACGGGUAG